RNAcentral lists this ribosomal RNA (460 nucleotides) under uncultured bacterium. RNAcentral describes it as "partial 16S ribosomal RNA". It matches the Rfam family "Bacterial small subunit ribosomal RNA", at positions 338 to 795 of the family's 1533-position model. The record is from RNAcentral.
CCUACGGGAGGCAGCAGUGAGGAAUAUUGGUCAAUGGGCGUAAGCCUGAACCAGCCAAGUCGCGUGAGGGAUGAAGGUUCUAUGGAUCGUACACCUCUUUUAUAAGGGAAUAAAGUGCGGCACGUGUCCUAUCUUGUAUGUACCCUAUGAAUAAGGAUUGGCUAACUCCGUGCCAGCAACCGCGGUAAUACGGAGGAUCCGAGCGUUAUCCGGAUUUUUUUGGUUUAAAGGGUGCGUAGGCGGGCUGUUAAGUCAGCGGUGAAAGUCUGUGGCUCAACCAUAGAAUGGCCGUUGAAACUGGGGGGCUUGAGUGUGUUGGAGGCAGGCGGAAUGCGUGGUGUAGCGGUGAAAUGCUUAGAUAUCACGCAGAACCCCGAUUGCGAAGGCAGCCUGCCAGGCCAUGACUGACGCUGAUGCACGAAAGCGUGGGGAUCAAACAGGAUUAGAUACCCCUGUAGUC